Molecule: ribosomal RNA, 1192 nt
Filed under: uncultured organism
Description: bacterial SSU rRNA
Rfam family: Bacterial small subunit ribosomal RNA
Source: RNAcentral
AAAACUUUUCGCUAAUAGAGGAGCCUAUGUAGGAUUAGGUAGUUGGUAUUUUGGGUAAAAGCCUACCAAGCCUAAGAUCCUUAGCUGUUCUGAGAGGUUGAACAGCCACACUGGGACUGAGACAAGGCCCAUGCUCCAUUUGGAGCCAGCAGUGAGGAAUUUUGGACAAUGAGCGAAAGCUUGAUCCAGCAAUACUACAUGAGUGAAGAAGGCUUUCAAGUUGUAACACUCUUUGGUUGAGGAGGAUAAUGACAGUACUCAACAAAAUAGCCCCGGCUAACUUCGUGCCAGCAGCCGCGGUAAGACGAAGGGGGCGAGCGUUAUCCGGAAUGACUGGGCGUAAAGGGUCCGUAGGCAGCAUUUUUUGUUGGAAGUUAAAUAAAAAAGCUUAACUUUUUUCCGCUUCUAAAACGUAAAUGCUUUGAGUUUGAUAGAAGAUAGCAGAAUUUCACAAGGAGGGGUGAUAUCCAGAGAUCUGUGAAGGAAUAUCAGAUGCGAAGGCGGCUAUCUAGAUCAACACUGACGUUGAGGGACGAAAGCAUGGGGAGCAAACAGGAUUAGAUACCCUGGUAGUCCAUGCCCUAAAAGAUGAGUGUUCGUGCUUAGAGAACUUUAGGCACUUAGUUAACACGUUAAACACUCCGCCUGGGGAGUACGAUCGCAAGGUUGGAACUCAAAGGAAUUGACGGGGGCCUAUACAAGUGGUGGAGCAUGUGGUUUAAUGCGAUAAUACGCGCGAAACCUUACCAGUUCUUGACAUAAAAAAGAAAAAGUUUGAAAAAGCAAUUUUAAAGAUUUUUACAGGUGCUGCAUGGCUGUCGUAAGCUCGUGUCGUGAGAUGUUAGGUUAACUCCUUUUAACGGGCGAAACCCCUUUUUUUCGUUGCUACUUAAUUUUAUUUUUAAAGCACUCUAAAAAAACUGCUCCCUUUUUUUAAUUCGGAGAGGAAGGUGGGGAUGACGUCAAGUCCUUAUGGCCCUUAUGAACUGGGCUACACACGUGCUACAAUGGUAAAGACAAUAAGAAGUGAUAGGGUAACCUAAAACCAAUCUUUAAACUUUAUCAAAGUUCGGAUUGUGGACUGCAACUCGUCCAUAUGAAGGUGGAAUCACUAGUAAUCGCACAUCAGCAUGUUGCGGUGAAUUUGUACCUAGGCCUUGUACACACCGCCCGUCACGUGCCGGGAGUUGGC